RNAcentral lists this ribosomal RNA (448 nucleotides) under uncultured bacterium. Its description in RNAcentral is "partial 16S ribosomal RNA". It matches the Rfam family "Bacterial small subunit ribosomal RNA", at positions 330 to 793 of the family's 1533-position model. The record is from RNAcentral.
UCCAGACUCCUACGGGAGGCAGCAGUGGGGGAUAUUGCACAAUGGGGGAAACCCUGAUGCAGCGACGCCGCGUGGGCGAAGAAGUAUUUCGGUAUGUAAAGCCCUCUCAGCAGGGAAGAAGAAAUGACGGUACCUGAGUAAGAAGCACCGGCUAAAUACGUGCCAGCAGCCGCGGUAAUACGUAUGGUGCAAGCGUUAUCCGGAUUUACUGGGUGUAAAGGGAGCGCAGGCGGCGCGUUAAGCCUGGUGUGAAAGCCCGCGGCCCAACCGCGGGACUGCAUUGGGAACUGGCGCGCUGGAGUGCCGGAGGGGUAGGCGGAAUUCCUAGUGUAGCGGUGAAAUGCGUAGAUAUUAGGAGGAACACCAGUGGCGAAGGCGGCUUACUGGACGGCAACUGACGCUGAGGCUCGAAAGCGUGGGGAGCAAACAGGAUUAGAUACCCCAGUAU